RNAcentral lists this ribosomal RNA (49 nucleotides) under fungal endophyte MS3 IS106. RNAcentral's name for it is "partial 18S ribosomal RNA". Lineage: Eukaryota; Fungi; Ascomycota. The record is from RNAcentral. RNAcentral also lists the same sequence under 2 other names.
UACUGAAAUGUAAUAACUUCUAUUGAAAGGUUCCAGAGUAGGCGCUACA